AUCUCACUGGUGGAAUAGGUAGACACAUCAGUCUUAGAAGCUGAGAGAGAAAUCUGUAUAGGUUCGAGUCCUAUGUGAGAUA
This 82-nucleotide transfer RNA is filed under the name Caudoviricetes sp. Its description in RNAcentral is "tRNA-Leu". It matches the Rfam family "tRNA". From Rfam's summary of the family: Transfer RNA (tRNA) molecules are approximately 80 nucleotides in length. Their secondary structure includes four short double-helical elements and three loops (D, anti-codon, and T loops). The record is from RNAcentral. Lineage: Duplodnaviria; Heunggongvirae; Uroviricota; Caudoviricetes.